This is a non-coding RNA of Vicia faba (fava bean), 404 nucleotides long. The record is from the annotation of a GenBank genome assembly. NCBI's taxonomy places the organism in Eukaryota, Viridiplantae, Streptophyta, Magnoliopsida, Fabales, Fabaceae.
AUGUUAAUGGUGAAGCAUUCACCAUGUGAAUCCUUGGAGAAGAAACAAUGUAACAGAAAACUAACAACAAUAACCGAAUCAGUUGGAGAAAUAUUGAACUCUUUCAUUGACAAGAAAAUAGAUUACAUGUAUGGUUUAUAUAUAAAGAUGCUUCCAAAGGAGCUUCUUUUGGUCCUUGUUACUGUUCCAGCUAAAAGACUAGCCACGUUAAAACCAUUCCAUCAAGACCCACAUCAUUGUUUGGUGCAACCACUGGUGAACUUUGCGGACAGUAAAUUGGUUGGUGAAACGGCCACGCACACUGACCAGCACAUUGAGUUUCUGAAUUCCCAACCCAAAUGUACGCGAAUUUGUGUUGUUUUCCGUUCACACGCGCACCGUAAAAAGAACCGUGUGUUCCACAC